UACGUAGGUGGCAAGCGUUGUCCGGAUUUAUUGGGCGUAAAGGGAGCGCAGGCGGUGACUUAAGUCUGAUGUGAAAGCCCACGGCUCAACCGUGGAAGGUCAUUGGAAACUGGGUCACUUGAAUAUAGAAGAGGAAAGUGGAAUUCCAUGUGUAGCGGUGAAAUGCGUAGAUAUAUGGAGGAACACCAGUGGCGAAGGCGACUUUCUGGUCUAUUAUUGACGCUGAGGCUCGAAAGCGUGGGGAGGCAAACAGGAUUAGAUACCCU
This 266-nucleotide ribosomal RNA is filed under the name uncultured prokaryote. RNAcentral's name for it is "partial 16S ribosomal RNA". It matches the Rfam family "Bacterial small subunit ribosomal RNA", at positions 524 to 788 of the family's 1533-position model. The record is from RNAcentral.